GGCCUGACCCCCCUGCACGUGGCCGUCGGCUCCGGGUCCCGCGAGAGCGCCCUGGUGCUGCUGGAGCACGGCGCCGACAUCGACGCCGUGGACAUCAAGAGCGGGCGCUCGCCGCUGCUGCACGCGGUGGAGAACGACAGCCUGGAGAUGGCCGAGCUGCUGCUGCAGCACGGAGCCAGCGUGAACGCCCAAUCCUACG
Non-coding RNA from Cyanistes caeruleus (blue tit), 199 nucleotides. The record is from RefSeq and is a predicted model, not a curated record. NCBI's taxonomy places the organism in Eukaryota, Metazoa, Chordata, Aves, Passeriformes, Paridae.